This 442-nucleotide ribosomal RNA is filed under the name uncultured Bacillota bacterium. Its description in RNAcentral is "bacterial SSU rRNA". It matches the Rfam family "Bacterial small subunit ribosomal RNA", at positions 917 to 1359 of the family's 1533-position model. Lineage: Bacteria; Bacillati; Bacillota. The record is from RNAcentral.
GGGCCCGCACAAGCAGCGGAGCAUGUGGUUUAAUUCGACGCAACGCGAAGAACCUUACCAGGUCUUGACAUUGAUUUAAAGCCGUAGAGAUACGGUGUCCCGCAAGGGGAAUGAAAACAGGUGGUGCAUGGUUGUCGUCAGCUCGUGUCGUGAGAUGUUGGGUUAAGUCCCGCAACGAGCGCAACCCUUGUCGUCAGUUACUAACGGGUAGAGCCGAGGACUCUGACGAGACUGCCGUGGACAACACGGAGGAAGGUGGGGAUGAUGUCAAAUCAUCAUGCCCCUUAUGACCUGGGCUACACACGUGCUACAAUGGCCGCAACAAAGAGGAGCGAGGGCGCAAGCCGGAGCGAAUCUCGGAAAAGCGGUCUCAGUUCAGAUUGUGGGCUGCAACCCGCCCACAUGAAGUCGGAGUUGCUAGUAAUCGCGAAUCAGCAUGUCG